Molecule: ribosomal RNA, 492 nt
Filed under: uncultured bacterium
Lineage: Bacteria
Description: partial 16S ribosomal RNA
Rfam family: Bacterial small subunit ribosomal RNA
Source: RNAcentral
AGUGAACGCUGGCGGUAGGCCUAACACAUGCAAGUCGAACGGCAGCACAGUAAGAGCUUGCUCUUACGGGUGGCGAGUGGCGGACGGGUGAGGAAUACAUCGGAAUCUACUUUUUCGUGGGGGAUAACGUAGGGAAACUUACGCUAAUACCGCAUACGACCUACGGGUGAAAGCAGGGGAUCUUCGGACCUUGCGCGAUUGAAUGAGCCGAUGUCGGAUUAGCUAGUUGGCGGGGUAAAGGCCCACCAAGGCGACGAUGCGUAGCUGGUCUGAGAGGAUGGUAGGCCACACUGGCACUGAGACACGGUCCGGACUCCUACGGGCGGCAGCAGUAGGGAAUCGUCAGAAAGGGGGUAGAGCCUGACGGCGCAACGAGGAGUAAGUGAUGAAGUUCUUAGGAUCGUAAAACUCUGUUAUUAGGGAAGAAGAAAAGGAUAAGUAAAUAUGCACGUCAGGACGGUACCUAAACAGAAAGAGACGGCUAGCUACGUG